AAAGUCGUAACAAGGUCUCCGUUGGUGAACCAGCGGAGGGAUCAUUACCGAAGUUACCCUUCAAACCCUUGUGAACCUUACCGCUGCCGCGCUGUUUCCUCGGCGGAGGCGCGGGUCCGGGGCCGCCCCUCAGGGGGUCGUCCCGCCACCCCGUCCCCGCCGGCAGCGCCAAACUCUUGCUCUGCAUAGCGGACUGUAUGUUCUGAUUUACAAUAAAAACAAGUCAAAACUUUCAACAACGGAUCUCUUGGUUCUG
RNAcentral lists this unclassified non-coding RNA (256 nucleotides) under Ascomycota sp. Its description in RNAcentral is "partial contains small subunit ribosomal RNA, internal transcribed spacer 1, and 5.8S ribosomal RNA". The stretch from base 1 to 47 matches the Rfam family "Eukaryotic small subunit ribosomal RNA", at positions 1785 to 1831 of the family's 1831-position model. The record is from RNAcentral. Lineage: Eukaryota; Fungi; Ascomycota.